AGUGAACGCCGGCGGUAGGCCUAACACAUGCAAGUCGAACGGCAGCACAGUAAGAGCUUGCUCUUACGGGUGGCGAGUGGCGGACGGGUGAGGAAUACAUCGGAAUCUACUUUUUCGUGGGGGAUAACGUAGGGAAACUUACGCUAAUACCGCAUACGACCUACGGGUGAAAGCAGGGGAUCUUCGGACCUUGCGCGAUUGAAUGAGCCGAUGUCGGAUUAGCUAGUUGGCGGGGUAAAGGCCCACCAAGGCGACGAUCCGUAGCUGGUCUGAGAGGAUGAUCAGCCACACUGGAACUGAGACACGGUCCAGACUCCUACGGGAGGCAGCAGUGGGGAAUAUUGGACAAUGGGCGCAAGCCUGACCCAGCCAUACCGCGUGGGUGAAGAAGGCCUUCGGGUUGUGAAGCCCUUUUGUUGGGAAAGAAAAGCAGCAGGUUAAUACCCCGCUGUUCUGACGGUACCCAAAGAAUAAGCACCGGCUAACUUCGUG
RNAcentral lists this ribosomal RNA (492 nucleotides) under uncultured bacterium. RNAcentral describes it as "partial 16S ribosomal RNA". It matches the Rfam family "Bacterial small subunit ribosomal RNA", at positions 29 to 507 of the family's 1533-position model. The record is from RNAcentral.